This 71-nucleotide transfer RNA is filed under the name Stegodyphus mimosarum. It matches the Rfam family "tRNA". Rfam says of the family: Transfer RNA (tRNA) molecules are approximately 80 nucleotides in length. Their secondary structure includes four short double-helical elements and three loops (D, anti-codon, and T loops). Further hydrogen bonds mediate the characteristic L-shaped molecular structure. tRNAs have two regions of fundamental functional importance: the anti-codon, which is responsible for specific mRNA codon recognition, and the 3' end, to which the tRNAs corresponding amino acid is attached (by aminoacyl-tRNA synthetases). tRNAs cope with the degeneracy of the genetic code in two manners: having more than one tRNA (with a specific anti-codon) for a particular amino acid; and 'wobble' base-pairing, i.e. permitting non-standard base-pairing at the 3rd anti-codon position. Lineage: Eukaryota; Metazoa; Arthropoda; Arachnida; Araneae; Eresidae. The record is from Rfam by way of RNAcentral.
GCCUUCGUGGUGUAACGGUAGCACACUCGGCGCGUAUUCGAGAGGUCCAGGUUCGAGUCCCGGCGAAGGCA